UGGGGAAUUUUGGACAAUGGGCGAAAGCCUGAUCCAGCAAUGCCGCGUGUGUGAAGAAGGCCUUCGGGUUGUAAAGCACUUUUGUCCGGAAAGAAAUCCUUGGCUCUAAUACAGUCGGGGGAUGACGGUACCGGAAGAAUAAGCACCGGCUAACUACGUGCCAGCAGCCGCGGUAAUACGUAGGGUGCAAGCGUUAAUCGGAAUUACUGGGCGUAAAGCGUGCGCAGGCGGUUUGCUAAGACCGAUGUGAAAUCCCCGGGCUCAACCUGGGAACUGCAUUGGUGACUGGCAGGCUAGAGUAUGGCAGAGGGGGGUAGAAUUCCACGUGUAGCAGUGAAAUGCGUAGAGAUGUGGAGGAAUACCGAUGGCGAAGGCAGCCCCCUGGGCCAAUACUAGACGCUCAUGCACGAAAGCGUGGGGAGCAAACAGGAUUAGAUACCCUGGUAGUCCACGCCCUAAAACGAUGUCAACUAGUUGUUGGGGAUUCAUUUCCUUAGUAACGUAGCUAACGCGUGAAGUUGACCGCCUGGGGAGUACGAUCGCAAGAUUAAAACUCAAAUGAAUUGACGGGGUCAUAGCUGUUUCCU
RNAcentral lists this ribosomal RNA (587 nucleotides) under uncultured bacterium. Its description in RNAcentral is "partial 16S ribosomal RNA". It matches the Rfam family "Bacterial small subunit ribosomal RNA", at positions 355 to 1375 of the family's 1533-position model. The record is from RNAcentral.